Molecule: ribosomal RNA, 407 nt
Filed under: uncultured bacterium
Lineage: Bacteria
Description: partial 16S ribosomal RNA
Rfam family: Bacterial small subunit ribosomal RNA
Source: RNAcentral
AUUGAACGCUGGCGGCAGGCCUAACACAUGCAAGUCGAGCGGAGCGGCGGACGGGUGAGUAAUGCCUAGGAAUCUGCCUGGUCGUGGGGGAUAACGUCCGGAAACGGGCGCUCAUACCGCAUACUAUCAGAUGAGCCUAGGUGUGAUUAGCUAGUUGGUGGGGUAAAGGACUACCAAGGCGACGAUCCGUAACUGGUCUGAGAGGAUGAUCAGUCACACGUGAACUGGGACACGGUCCAGACUCCGACGGGAGGCAGCAGUGGGGAAGAUGGGACAAUGGGCGAAAGCCUGAUCCAGCCAUGGCGCGUGUGUGAAGAAGGGCUUCGGAUUGUAAAGCACUUUAAGUUGGGAGGCGUUACCAACAGAAUAAGCACCGGCUAACUUCGUGCCAGCAGCCGCGGUAAUUC